Rosa chinensis is the source of this 1063-nucleotide long non-coding RNA. RefSeq lists it as uncharacterized. The record is from RefSeq and is a predicted model, not a curated record. The transcript has 6 exons. Lineage: Eukaryota; Viridiplantae; Streptophyta; Magnoliopsida; Rosales; Rosaceae.
AAAUGUAUUUCACACGGAUUUCCGUGGAAAUUCCGCUUAUAACCAGCAAAUUGAUCCAAAUCUGAAGCAUAUCCAUCCAUGUCCUUCUCCCCCACCCCUAAAGCAUAUCGAUGAUCCAAAUCUGAAGCAUAUCGAUCCAUGUCCUUCUCCCCCACCCCUAAAGCGUAUCGAUGUUCUUCUCCCCCAAAUCGAUUCAGCCUUAUCAGAGGUCUGGAAGCACCGCCUCCAGCUACAAUAAUCUGUCUGUGAAAUUUGAACUCUGCAAUCCCAGAAAAAAAACGAGAGCAUGUCGAAGGAGAGAGCCAAAAGAGGCACACUGCCUCCAGCCCAAGAGUAAAUUGAGAAAGUUGUAGAGGAAGGUAACUACCAUGGAGCUCAGCAGCUGUACAAAUCUAUUAGUGCGAGAUAUGUAGCUGCUCAGAGGUAUACUGAAGCUUUAGAUAUUCUUCAGUCGGGUGCAUGCAUCCAGUUGAAACAUGGGCAGGUUACGUGUGGGGCAGAGUUAGCUGCUUUGUUUGUGGAUACACUUGUCAAAGCGAGAUGCCCUUAUGACGAUGAAACCCUCGGUCAGUUGCUCGCCUCCAGCGUCAAGCACCGCCUCCCUCCAGUCCAUCCUUCCCUCUUCUCUGUUGCCUCUGCUGGAGCUCCUUCAGUCUAUUUCUUCCAUCAAGGCCGAUUACAUUGCUCGCCAACAGUGCAAAGCAUCCUCUAGUCCUCUAGUCCUUUGCACCGAUGAUUCUGGGGUCUUUUCUACCUGCCCUUCCAACGAGUACAACCUUGCUGCUUCUGCAUUUGGGGAAGGAGGGAAAUAUUUCAGCUAACGAGAAAUUCGUGCAAGUUUAUAUUUGCUGAUGAUGGAGUAAAGAGAUAAUUAAAGGAGAUUUUUAGUUCACUAGAACAGAAGCUCGACCAAUCUUUCGAAUUUAGGGGCAUAUGCAGAAACGCUGAUCAUUUCAUAAGUUGUAUUAUCAACUGUUAUUGACAUCUUUAGAAUUAUAUUUUUUUUCUUCAAGUAAUGCAGAAUCUUCAUUGGUUCCUAAUUAAUUAGCAGAUUUUUUUUAUA